This 2778-nucleotide long non-coding RNA is filed under the name Scophthalmus maximus (turbot). RNAcentral's name for it is "lncRNA (ENSSMAG00000023010.1)". Lineage: Eukaryota; Metazoa; Chordata; Actinopteri; Pleuronectiformes; Scophthalmidae. The record is from RNAcentral.
CUCAGAAGUGUGAUUGGCGGUUCAGCAGUGAUGUCACAGAUGGGGGGCGGGGUCAGCCUCACCUGGGAGAUCUCAGGAGAACAACAGCGGUGAUGCUGUGAGGUGCGAGCCAAGUCCGUCCGGUGAAGAGACGCGAGCGGUUGGGAGCCAGGAGACGCCUACCCCCCAGCCAAGAGACGCUUAGUCCCCAUCGCAGGAUGACACGGCGUUGGAGGGGCCGACCGAAUCGAGUCCUGCAACUACAGGUCGGCCGAGGUUCUGCGCCGUGGGACCUUCUCCUCCUUCAGGCCCACGACACCCGGAGACGAUGUGACCGGUCGUCUGUUGGCAGCGUGUCCUCCCCCCUCUCCUCCCUAAUCCAUUCAUCACUUACAGUAGGAAGCAGCCUGCCACUGGUGAGUUAUCUGUGCUCCGCCCACAACCAGCACACGCACACACACACACACACACACACAAACACACAUCGAGAAAGACGAGAAAAGUUUUCCCCCUCCAUUAUUAUUAUUAUCAGGACACUUCAGACAGUUUGACUAAAUAUAAUACAGAUAUAAUGUAGAUAUAAUAACGAUUAUAUAUAUAUAUAUAUAUAUAUAAUGAAGAUAUAAUACAGAUAUAAUGUAGAUAUAAUAACGAUUAUAUAUAAAUAAAUAUAUAUAUAAUAAAUAUAUAAUAUAGAUAUAAUCAGCAGAGAACUCACGGUGCUGUGCUGUACCUGUUUAUAUUGACCUUUAACCUCCAGGCCGCUGCUCAUUCUGGGUUGUAAUUGGCUGGAUGAUGUGGAUUGACCUUGAGCAACUCGAUAGCUGACACUGACUCCUGAUUGGUCGACUCCACUUGAUGUCACCAGCACAAGAUGGCGGCGCCUUAAUCAGAGAUAUAUUUUUCGCAUCGCCAUUGGCCGAUCAGGUUCAUGGAGACGACCUGGACAAUGACUUUGUGCCUGUUUCUUUUUCUAAAUCACUUCCUGGUUCGUGUUUCACUCAUCGUCUCAACUUGACCUGUAACGACACGUUCACACGAACAAGUUUGGGUCUGAACCUUUGAAUGUUGUCCUCACUUACGUGUGUGUGUGUGUGUGUGUGUGUGUGUGUGUGUGUGUUUAGAAAACCACUCUAUCCCAUCCUGUCCCUCUGCUUUUGAGGUUAAAGCUUAGAGCUGUAAUUAUACUGUCUAGCCCAGAACCACCUGUCGUGUGUGUGUGUGUGUGUGUGUGUGUGUGUGUGUGUGUGUGUGUGUGUGUUGUAGAACAGUACACCUUUGCAUAGCGACACAUCAGUCAGCUCCACCUCAUCUGCUGCCUUUGAAACCCGCCCAACUUCUGGUUACACACAGUGUCGCUUUAGAUACACACACACACACACACACACACACACACUGUUGACCAAAACCCCUCAGGCAGUCGACACGUCUUCCUGCAGGCUUGUGUGAAAGUGUGAACCUGACGUCCUCUCUGCGUUCGCGAUGUUAGUUGGCAACGUCGACGUGUAGACGUUGAGUGAAUUUGGUAAAAAGUUAAAUUUACCGACUGGUUUUUGUAGCUCUGAUUGAUUCUAGAUCGAUCCAGUUGACCCCAGAGACAAAGCGUCGCUGAACCCAGAGGUUCCGGACCCACGAGGAGAAUGAUCGGAGGCCGUUCCCUGGAGAAGUGGCCUCCUCCCCCUCCCCUCGCCCCGCGUCACCGCUUGUUCCUUUUCAAAUCGCUGAUGUACUCGGCGAGCGGCCGCCACCAGCGGCGGACUGAUGUGUUAUCAAUACGUUAAUUGGAUUGAUAGAUGAAGCGUACGAGCCGGUGUCAGGUGGGACGGAGCACCAGCCCGGCUCAGACUGACACAAACAGAUGAGACGAGCCGCAGGGAAACGGCCGGAACAAUGAGCGGGCAGGGGACACGCGAGGAGCCGCCCCCGCCUCACCCCGCCCCCUACCCCCAUGGUCAUUUCAUUGGAGAGAGGCUCAGUGUGUGUGUGUGUGUGUGUGUGACAUCGUCAGCAUCACUAUGAAAGAGGAGGAAGGAAGUUUGGCCACGAGAUUAAAAGAUGAUUUAAUGGGAAAGUAAAAACCCUCAGAGACUCUUAAUUUACUGGAACACGUCCUGAGUGAUGGAUGGCAGAGGAGUCUGUGUGUGUGUGUGUGUGUUUAGCAUUAAAGUGUUUUUCUUGUCUCUGUGUUCAUAUAUUAACAGAAAUCAGAUUUCUAAACUCAGACAAAAUGCAGGUUGUUUUUUGAUGGUGCGUUCUCUCCAGACGCCAUUCACCGUCUGAGCAGGCGCAGGACGCCGUGUUUGGUCCGUAACUAAAUUGCAGGUGAUGCGACAAUUUCCUCGGACCACGGUCCGGACCAAUGGACCAAAGUUUGGUCCGACCAGAAGAGGUUGUCUGGGUCUGGAUCAAACCGAACCAUGGUCCGGUUCGUUAGAAGUGUGAAAAAAAAGGUUUGUGGACGUGAACACAGUGACGUCAGGCGCCCGUCCGUCUACAGACCAAUCAGAGUCGAGUAUCAGGGAAACGCAGCCUCACGCAGGUGACGACGACAGGACGCAGGUUUGUCACGGAAAGUUCUUUAGUGGCAACGUGAAACCAGAACUAACCGGAUCGAAUGUGAACAAUGCAGCAGAAACGCCAGCGUUGGCUCAGACCUUCGGGUGCCGUCAGCCGAUUGUUGCCGCCUGUGAUCUCAGCUCUCAUUGGUCCGUUUGAAAUCCAGUGGUCCUCAGUCGCCUGAAGUUCGAAGAGUUUAUAAUGCAAAAGAAAAACUACUCUCUCCUAAGUCGUAUCUAUUCA